RNAcentral lists this ribosomal RNA (537 nucleotides) under uncultured Bacillaceae bacterium. RNAcentral's name for it is "bacterial SSU rRNA". It matches the Rfam family "Bacterial small subunit ribosomal RNA", at positions 9 to 526 of the family's 1533-position model. Lineage: Bacteria; Bacillati; Bacillota; Bacilli; Caryophanales; Bacillaceae. The record is from RNAcentral.
GAGUUUGAUCCUGGUUCAGGAUGAACGCUGGCGGCGUGCCUAAUACAUGCAAGUCGAGCGAAUGGAUUGAGAGCUUGCUCUCAAGAAGUUAGCGGCGGACGGGUGAGUAACACGUGGGUAACCUGCCCGUAAGACUGGGAUAACUCCGGGAAACCGGGGCUAAUACCGGAUAAUAUUUUGAACUGCAUGGUUCGAAAUUGAAAGGCGGCUUCGGCUGUCACUUAUGGAUGGACCCGCGUCGCAUUAGCUAGUUGGUGAGGUAACGGCUCACCAAGGCAACGAUGCGUAGCCGACCUGAGAGGGUGAUCGGCCACACUGGGACUGAGACACGGCCCAGACUCCUACGGGAGGCAGCAGUAGGGAAUCUUCCGCAAUGGACGAAAGUCUGACGGAGCAACGCCGCGUGAGUGAUGAAGGCUUUCGGGUCGUAAAACUCUGUUGUUAGGGAAGAACAAGUGCUAGUUGAAUAAGCUGGCACCUUGACGGUACCUAACCAGAAAGCCACGGCUAACUACGUGCCAGCAGCCGCGGUAAUAC